This 372-nucleotide ribosomal RNA is filed under the name uncultured organism. Its description in RNAcentral is "partial 16S ribosomal RNA". It matches the Rfam family "Bacterial small subunit ribosomal RNA", at positions 527 to 896 of the family's 1533-position model. The record is from RNAcentral.
GUAGGUGGCAAGCGUUGUCCGGAAUUAUUGGGCGUAAAGCGCGCGCAGGCGGUUCUUUAAGUCUGAUGUGAAAGCCCACGGCUCAACCGUGGAGGGUCAUUGGCAACUGGAGAACUUGAGUACAGAAGAGGAAAGCGGAAUUCCACGUGUAGCGGUGAAAUGCGUAGAGAUGUGGAGGAACACCAGUGGCGAAGGCGGCUUUCUGGUCUGUAACUGACGCUGAGGCGCGAAAGCGUGGGGAGCAAACAGGAUUAGAUACCCUGGUAGUCCACGCCGUAAACGAUGAGUGCUAAGUGUUAGGGGGUUUCCGCCCCCCUUAGUGCUGCAGCUAACGCAUUAAGCACUCCGCCUGGGAGUACGGCCGCAAGGCUG